GACAGAGCAAGAAAGACUUGUAAAUAUGAAGCUGAGUUAACAGAUUUAUUAGGAGAAAAACAUAAUAUUCAACCAUUUGCUGUAUCAGGAAGAAACGGUUUAGUACUUAGAGGACAACUGGAUUUCAAUAAGGAAAAUAAUGCUGCUUGUCAAUAAUUCAGUCGGUGUCAGUCGAAAAUAAUCAACAAAUACAAGUGACCAAGUUUCCUGGCGACACCGUUACCGCCUUCAUCAUCUCGCAGGUCCCAAGUCUCCAGAGUAA
This is a long non-coding RNA of Pogonomyrmex barbatus (red harvester ant), 262 nucleotides long. NCBI's taxonomy places the organism in Eukaryota, Metazoa, Arthropoda, Insecta, Hymenoptera, Formicidae. The record is from RefSeq and is a predicted model, not a curated record.